This 69-nucleotide transfer RNA is filed under the name Rattus norvegicus (Norway rat). It matches the Rfam family "tRNA". Rfam says of the family: Transfer RNA (tRNA) molecules are approximately 80 nucleotides in length. Their secondary structure includes four short double-helical elements and three loops (D, anti-codon, and T loops). Further hydrogen bonds mediate the characteristic L-shaped molecular structure. tRNAs have two regions of fundamental functional importance: the anti-codon, which is responsible for specific mRNA codon recognition, and the 3' end, to which the tRNAs corresponding amino acid is attached (by aminoacyl-tRNA synthetases). tRNAs cope with the degeneracy of the genetic code in two manners: having more than one tRNA (with a specific anti-codon) for a particular amino acid; and 'wobble' base-pairing, i.e. permitting non-standard base-pairing at the 3rd anti-codon position. The record is from Rfam by way of RNAcentral. Lineage: Eukaryota; Metazoa; Chordata; Mammalia; Rodentia; Muridae.
GGGGAUUUAGCUCAGUGGUAGAGCGCUUGCCUAGCACGCACAAGGCCCUGGGUUCGGUCCCCAGCUCCG